AUAGAUACUUCUAACCAGUAGCGUUGUCUUGUUGUACGUUAAGUCAGCGACUUGUGUAGAGUUGUGUUUUGUCGUGUUUGAGCAGUUGGUCCAGACGCGUUAGCUAGCUAAGCGGCUAAGUUAGCUAGCGGGCUAAUUAACACAGGUGGCUAACUUACCGCUGAACACCUGUGUUAGUUGCUGCAGCAGCUGUCCUCAUUAUUAGAAUGACCUUCUCAACCUGUAUUUCUCUGCUGUGUAUUUUAGCUUUUAAAAAAGUUAUUUUACUUUAAGGUUAACUGAAACCCGUUCAGCUGCACUGAAGUUUAACAUUCAGCUGGUUUGAAUUAAACCUCGCUUAAUUUAACAUUGUGCAACAUUACCUCUCUGAAUCUCCAUAAUUUCAUUAAAUUCCUUCUCUCUUCCACUGCUCAAGUUCAAUCCAGUAUAUAAAAUGACAUUAAUAGUGAAUAAACUAACAACCAGCCAUUGUAUUUAUUUAUUAUUGCAUGUAUAUGUAGUAAAACAUGAGUUAAAACAUCCUACUUUUGGAUCUAGAACUGCACAAGCCGUUCAUUUUCAGUCACCUGACGAGUUAAACUCCCCUUUUUAUGUAAGGUUGAAGCAGAAAGUCUGAAUUAACAAAGAAAGUUGUUUAUAAUUUGCGAUACCUGUUAUCUCAGACUGAGGCUUUAGUUUUUAUUGAGCUGAUUUACACGUAGAAACUUUGUUCAGGAAGAUUUCUCAGUAGCUCAGAGGACAGGCUGCUUUUUACACAACCUUGUAAGAGAAUGUCUGUCAAUGCUUUCAGCAGAAUUUAGAAACACAACACUUCCUAAACAGAUGUUUUGAGGCUGUGAGGUUGAACGUUUGAGAGUAUAUCAGUGUGUUUGUUUGUGGUCUUUCUGUUUCUAGGUGGAAGCUGAAUUAGUGAGGAUGACUCCUGCUCCUGUCAUCUCUAAGCUCCUCACACAUCUUUACCUGCACAUGAGGAAAAUCACUCCUGUAGAAUGCAGGUAUGUUUGUCAUUAUUAUAAAAAGAUGUUGCCUGGUGACCUGUCAGAAACCCAUCAUACAGAGUCAGCCAAAAUAAUGUUUACACACAUCAGGAAAAGAAAAACUUGCAUACAUAUUUCAAUACUAAAUUUAUUCAUACAUCACCAGAUUAAUAAAAGUUAUCUUUGGCCGCUACAAUUACAAGAGGUGCUCAAAGUGGUGGCCACUGGCUUCCAGACAUUUCUGUUGUGUUGUAGACGUCACUUGUUGAUGCUCCAUUCAUGAGGGUAGCGCCAUCUGUUGGGAAAACAUCGUACAACAGGACACAGAGUUAUGGUGAUUUGAUCAAACUUAGAAAGAGGAAUCUAUAUGUAUAGAAGUACUUAUACAAAUGAAAUAUUUACAAAAGUUUUUCUUUUCCUGAUGUGUAUCUACAUUGUUUUGGCUGACUCUGACUCUGAACUUAAUGAGAACAAAACUGUCAUUUAAUUGUUGCUCUGAAAGCUUCUUUAGUGAAAACCAGCUGGUGUUCUGCUUUGAAACAAACUGCUUUUGAGGUCUGUGUUUUUAGGUUUAACCCCACAGUUUCUGAAUGAACUGAUAGUUGUUUUUUUUCCUGAUCAAUGUGGACGUUAUAAUUGAUGGUAACAUUUACUGAUCAUAUAAUCAGCAUGACAAUAUAACAGUAGAACAUUCUGACCACCUGACUAAUACUGUGUUGGUCCCUUUAUGCUGCUAAAACUCCUCUGACCCAGUGGUUCAUCAGAACCUCUGGGCAUGUCCUGUGGAUUCUGUGGGUCCUGUGGGUUGCAGGGUGGGUCCUACCUAGACCAGGCUGAUCCUGGACCAUCCCACAGAUGCUCAGUCAGAUGUGGAUGUGGGGAGUGUGGAACCCAGAUGUUCAGAGGGAGAUGAUGCCACAUCUGGUCCAGCUGAUGGAAGGUCUUGAAGUUCUCUGACUGGCCUCAACUGAAGAUGGUCCUCUCUCUGGAUUUAAGGUUCAGAUGCUCAGUAACAAACUCCACCAAUGAGCCAACAGGGAAGCUUUAGGUUUAUUAAAUGUUGCUAUGAAGGUUUCGCUGUUUUUCUUUGUGAAUGCAAUGUGCUCCAACUGAAACUUGAAUUAGAACUUAGAAGUAAAUCCUUCCAUCCGAAAGGAUUUAGUUGCAUUAAUAACCUCAUAACAUUCAAAUUUUUAUUCCAGUCUUGGUUGGAAAUAGAAUCUCUGUAUUGAUUCAGGUAAAAACUGAACUUCACAGCAUGUUGGAGCAAAACAACCAGAUGAAAACUGUGAUGGUGUUGGAUUGUCAGACCGUAAUGUUGCAGCUCAAAGCAGCUUUUCUAGCUCAGUUCAUUCUGACAUUCAGCUAUGAAUCAACACAGCAGAUGGUGAUCCAUGCUGUGGAAGUCUCACAUCUCCUGAUUUAAUGGAGCUGCUUUGCACUUUUUACACUGUUUAUUCACCAACACUUUAUUUAAUAAAAGUCCCAUCUAGUUUUUAUGAGGAAUGUGAUGUUUUAAUUUCUCUGUGAAUAACUGCAGUCUAAUGCAACAUCUGGAAUUGUAACAUCUGUCCUGAUAUUGAUCAUGAAGUAUUGAUCAGAAUACUUAUGGUUAGCAGUCAUCCCUGAAGUUUUACAUUAAAAUCUUUACUUGUGUUGUGAACUUUGGUAAGAAGCAGAAACGUUAGCGUUGCCAUGGAUACAUGAGUGUUAAAUUCUGUCCAUGUUUCCAUUUUGGGAAAUGUAGUCCAGUUCCAGAAUGUGGAGGAAUUUAGUCUCACAAUCACAGACAACAAAUAUUAUCUGAAAGUCGGGUUAUUGUUGUUUAUCAGCACAAUACAAAAAGAUUAAUGUUAGAAAUAUUCCAGUUAAUACUCUAGAAUAUCAUGAUUUAUGUAAAUUUACCUCAAUAAUAUGAAUGUUCAGGUUAAGAUUGUUCAGUGAUAUUUAUUAUGUAAGUUUAGCUGAUUAAAGUUUAUGACUCUGCACUAAAAUAUUAUUUAAAUUGACAUCAUUAUUGUAAUAUUUAGGGUCAGACCCUAAGUAUUGAGAUUAAGAAAUCAAAUAUUCUAUAAAAUGUAAAUACACUGAACUCAUUUGGAUAUAUUUAAGUGAGACUCUACAAUAUUAUUUGACACAAAUCUAUCUAAAUCAAAAUUUUAAUAAUUUUCACACCAAACAUUUACUGGACUGAUUUAAAUAUUAAAAUCACUCCUUUCUAAUCCUCUGCUGUACGUUCAAACCUGAGGCCUUAAAUAGAAACACACAAGUAUCUGAUUGAAGGAACUUCUGCAGAGUCCUGGUUCCAGAACAUGAUGAUAGAAUUAUAGACAAACUUUAACAAAAGCUGCCUGAGAGUUUACAGGUUUUUAUGUUAGAUUUCUUCAGUAAUUUAAUGAGUUAUCAGCAAUAAUCAAGUGUUCAUUUGAUGAACUUCAUUUCCUAAAACAUCCAGAAUUGGAGCUCAUACCUUUUAGAGCUGUAAAGUUUCUGCUCCUUCAAAGUUCACAACACAAUGAAUGAAUUCCUAAAACACUCUCAAUGUUGGAGAGCGUUUGUGAUGCUGAAGCAGUGAUCAGUUUUUCUGUUUCUUCUCUGGAGAUGCACAAUGAGGGACGUCUGCAGCAACUGAGAAAGAGUCUCACCACAUCCUGACAUGAGGAAAAAGACUUUAUUGAAGACUGCAAUGAGAAAAACUAUCAGACAGCAGACGGCUGCAUUCAAGGUGAGCUCUGAACAUUUGAUCUGGAACAGGAAUUCAAUCACAGCAGCAUGAGCUUCAUUUCAGUCUGUAGCUGCUGAAUUCAUGGAUGAAUCAUCUGGCACUAGAGAGGAAGACCAUCAAACAUCCACGUCAGCUGAUGGAGGUCCAAGAGUCUCACCCAACAAAACCUACAGAGUGAAGACCUCAAAUCUGAUUGGACGGCCUCCUAUUCAGCCACAUGUGUGAACAAAUGCCUCUAAGCUGAUUUGUUUUCUAAAAUAAAUCUAGUUUGAGUCCUAAUCUA
Long non-coding RNA from Amphiprion ocellaris (clown anemonefish), 3985 nucleotides. RefSeq lists it as uncharacterized. NCBI's taxonomy places the organism in Eukaryota, Metazoa, Chordata, Actinopteri, Pomacentridae. The record is from RefSeq and is a predicted model, not a curated record. The transcript is spliced from 2 exons.